Molecule: transfer RNA, 85 nt
Filed under: Streptomyces hundungensis
Lineage: Bacteria; Bacillati; Actinomycetota; Actinomycetes; Kitasatosporales; Streptomycetaceae
Description: tRNA-His
Source: RNAcentral
CGCGGGUUGGCCGGGCCGGUCCAUGGUCAGGGUCGCUGUGAUCGUCUUGGUGGAGACGUUCCACAGUUCGACUUCGGAGCCGCGC